CUCUUGCUCUUGCUCCUUUGCCUGCUUGCUGCGUGAGACUGAGUAACUGCUAGAUCCUUGGACUUCCAUUCACAGCUGCGACUGAACAAUUGUUGGGAAUUCGGCUGCCGACUGUCAUGCCUUAUCUGUGAUGUUCAAAAUGAAUUCACAGCCAGAUCUUAACUUCCCAUGGCCGACUGUGAGCACCAAGGAUCUUAAAUCACUGACACCACAUUCCUUGAACCUUGACCCUGAAACAUCCUGAAGGGAGGGGCUGGAAUCACACCCAUGGUUUAAUGCUAACCAGGAACAAUGGAGUAGAUGCUGCUAAAAGUGAAGGACCUGCUACAACUUCUGAGAAACUACAAAGUCACAAUCAAGUACCCUAAGCUUGGCCUGGAU
RNAcentral lists this long non-coding RNA (381 nucleotides) under Mus musculus (house mouse). RNAcentral's name for it is "predicted gene 14742". Lineage: Eukaryota; Metazoa; Chordata; Mammalia; Rodentia; Muridae. The record is from RNAcentral.